UCUUCCCACAAGGGAAGAAAUUCUGAUGGAACAACCCCCGCGUGAGUGAAGAAGGUUUUCGGAUCGUAAAACUCUGUUGUUGGAGAAGAACGUAUUUGAUAGUAACUGAUCAGGUAGUGACGGUAUCCAACCAGAAAGCCACGGCUAACUACGUGCCAGCAGCCGCGGUAAUACGUAGGUGGCAAGCGUUGUCCGGAUUUAUUGGGCGUAAAGCGAGCGCAGGCGGUUUCUUAAGUCUGAUGUGAAAGCCUUCGGCUCAACCGAAGAAGUGCAUCGGAAACUGGGAAACUUGAGUGCAGAAGAGGACAGUGGAACUCCAUGUGUAGCGGUGAAAUGCGUAGAUAUAUGGAAGAACACCAGUGGCGAAGGCGGCUGUCUGGUCUGUAACUGACGCUGAGGCUCGAAAGCAUGGGUAGCAAACAGGAUUAGAUACCCUGGUAGUCCAUGCCGUAAACGAUGAGUGCUAGGUGUUGGAGGGUUUCCGCCCUUCAGUGCCGCAGCUAACGCAUUAAGCACUCCGCCUGGGGAGUACGACCGCAAGGUUGAAACUCAAAGGAAUUGACGGGGGCCCGCACAAGCGGUGGAGCAUGUGGUUUAAUUCGAAGCAACGCGAAGAACCUUACCAGGUCUUGACAUCCUUUGACCACUCUAGAGAUAGAGCUUUCCCUUCGGGGACAAAGUGACAGGUGGUGCAUGGUUGUCGUCAGCUCGUGUCGUGAGAUGUUGGGUUAAGUCCCGCAACGAGCGCAACCCUUAUUACUAGUUGCCAGCAUUUAGUUGGGCACUCUAGUGAGACUGCC
Molecule: ribosomal RNA, 800 nt
Filed under: Latilactobacillus curvatus
Lineage: Bacteria; Bacillati; Bacillota; Bacilli; Lactobacillales; Lactobacillaceae
Description: bacterial SSU rRNA
Rfam family: Bacterial small subunit ribosomal RNA
Source: RNAcentral